This 497-nucleotide ribosomal RNA is filed under the name uncultured bacterium. RNAcentral's name for it is "partial 16S ribosomal RNA". It matches the Rfam family "Bacterial small subunit ribosomal RNA", at positions 28 to 523 of the family's 1533-position model. The record is from RNAcentral.
GAUGAACGCUGGCGGCGUGCCUAACACAUGCAAGUCGAACGAAGCACUUUAAAUAGAUUUCUUCGGAAUGAAGUUUUUUGUGACUUAGUGGCGGACGGGUGAGUAACGCGUGGGUAACCUGCCCAGUACUGGGGGACAACAGUUGGAAACGACUGCUAAUACCGCAUAAGCCUACGGUGUCGCAUGACACAGUAGGAAAAAUUCCGGUGGUACUGGAUGUGCCCGCGUCUGAUUAGCUAGUUGGUAAGGUAAUGGCUUACCAAGGCGACGAUCAGUAGCCGGGUGGAGAAAGAGAACGGCCACAUUUGGGCUGAGACACGGGCCGAAUUCCUACGGGAGGCAGCAGUGGGGAAUAUUGCACAAUGGGGGAAACCCUGAUGCAACAACGCAGCGUGAGUGAAGAAGUAUUUCGGUAUGUAAAGCUCUAUCAGCAGGGAAGAUAAUGACGGUACCUGACUAAGAAGCACCGGCUAAAUACGUGCCAGCCGCCGCCGUAA